GCGGGAGUAGCUCAGUUGGUAGAGCACCAGCUUGCCAUGCUGGAUGUCGCGGGUUCGAAUCCCGUCUCCCGCUCCA
RNAcentral lists this transfer RNA (76 nucleotides) under Alphaproteobacteria bacterium. RNAcentral describes it as "tRNA-Gly". It matches the Rfam family "tRNA". Rfam says of the family: Transfer RNA (tRNA) molecules are approximately 80 nucleotides in length. Their secondary structure includes four short double-helical elements and three loops (D, anti-codon, and T loops). Lineage: Bacteria; Pseudomonadati; Pseudomonadota; Alphaproteobacteria. The record is from RNAcentral. RNAcentral also lists the same sequence under 3 other names.